RNAcentral lists this ribosomal RNA (492 nucleotides) under uncultured bacterium. RNAcentral describes it as "partial 16S ribosomal RNA". It matches the Rfam family "Bacterial small subunit ribosomal RNA", at positions 29 to 507 of the family's 1533-position model. The record is from RNAcentral.
AGUGAACGCUGGCGGUAGGCCUAACACAUGCAAGUCGAACGGCAGCACAGUAAGAGCUUGCUCUUACGGGUGGCGAGUGGCGGACGGGUGAGGGAUACAUCGGAAUCUACUUUUUCGUGGGGGCUAACGUAGGGACAAUUACGCUAAUACCGCAUACGACCUACGGGUGAAAGCAGGGGAUCUUCGGCCCUCGCGCGAUUGAAUGAGCCGAUGUCGGAUUAGUUAGUUGGCGGGGUAAAGGCCCACCAAGGCGACGAUCCGUAGCUGGUCUGAGAGGAUGAUCAGCCACACUGGAACUGAGACACGGUCCAGACUCCUACGGGAGGCAGCAGUGGGGAAUAUUGGACAAUGGGCGAAAGCCUGAUCCAGCCAUACCGCGUGGGUGAAGAAGGCCUUCGGGUUGUAAAGCCCUUUUGUUGGGAAAGAAAAGCAGCAGGUUAAUACCCCGCUGUUCUGACGGUACCCAAAGAAUAAGCACCGGCUAACUUCGUG